Molecule: long non-coding RNA, 2254 nt
Organism: Cinclus cinclus
Lineage: Eukaryota; Metazoa; Chordata; Aves; Passeriformes; Cinclidae
Exons: 3
Source: RefSeq, a predicted model, not a curated record
GGAAGGGGAACCUCGCCCCAAAACCAGCGGGGGCGUCUCUGGAAGGUUUUCUUUUUGAGGGGCCAGGGUACGUUUGGAUCUUGAAGGACCCCGAAGCUCAGCCGGAAAUGCCCCGGGAGGGAUCUUGGCAGGUCCCACGUGGUGAUCACCCAGUACUGGUGGGCAGAGGGCCAGUAUGGGGUUUGGGGAUCCCCAGGAGAGCCGUGGGGGAAUGCGGGAGCCCCGGAGAGGGGAGAGCGCAGAGGGGCAUUCCCAGAGCCAGGGAACCCCCGGCAGCCUGGAGGAGUGCAAGAGGUUGGUGAUGAGCAGCCCCAGGCUCUCUGAGGUUGAAAGGGGUGAUGACAUCUCCAGCUACCCUUGGCCCGCAGGAACAUCAAAACCAAUGUGCUCAGCCCUUGUUUUUCCCCAAAACCAGGAUUUCCCAUUCCCAAAUCAUGGUCAGAUGGAGGAGGAGGCCGUGAGGAAGAUGGCCCAGAAGCCCUAUGCAGGUGAGGGGGAAGUCCCUGCCCCCUUCCCCCUCUGUCCUGCUCCAUCUCCCAGCCCAGCACGGCCCCCGGCUGCAGGACAACCCCGCUGCCGACACCGUCCUGCCGGGGACAUGCUGGGGGGAUCUCCUUCCCCCUCCCUCUGGAACAGAGGCAAAUCCCAUCCUCUCCUUGUCCUUCCUCCCCCAGACAAGGAGCUGAGGAUGGAGACCAGGGAGGACAAAUCCCCACAGCUGAACCUUAUGGAAAAGGCAUUUUAAACCAGCUCCAUGGUGCAGGAAUCCAAGGAGGAGGAAAAGCCCCAGAGAUCCCUCAUGAGGGGUUACAAAUGCAGAUCACGGUGAUCCAAAGCAGAAAGACCCACUCCGGGCCAGGGAGGUGGCCAGAGAUGCUGCUGGAGCUUAGAGCUGAGAGUCCAUGAGCAGCUUCAUGAUGGGGAGAAGCCCCACAAGUGCUCAGAAUGUGGGAAGAGCUUCAGCAAGUGAUCCUACCUGAUCCAACACUGGAGAAUCCACAUGAGGGAACAGCCCUAUGAGUGUGGGGAGUGUGGGAAGGGCUUCAAGACAAGCUCUGACCUGACUGCCCACCAGAUGAGCCACACAAAGCAGAGGCGUGCCGAUUGUGAGGAAUGCAGGAAGACAUUUAAGACUAGCUCCAGUCUCCUCAGGCAUCAGCAGAUUCAGAGGAGAGGCCCUUCCACUGACCCAACAAUGGGAAUGGCUUCAACCAAAACUCCACUGUCGUCACCCACCAGCGCAUAUAUACUAGGACGAGGCCCUACGAGUGUCCCAAAUGUGUGAAGUCCUGUUCCAGAAGCUCUCACUUUACCCUACACCAAUGAAGGCACCACUAAGGGAAGCCCUGCAAAUCAAGUGCAGGAAGAGCUUCAUGUGCUGCUCCAGCUCCAUCCCCCGUGGCAGGAUCUGUGCUGGAUGUUCCUGUGGCCCCCAGUGGGCAGAGCAUUGCUGGUCCAUGGUGCCCGUGAUCUAUGUUAGAAAUACACCUGGCUGGGUGGCUCCACAUCCUCCUGGCUCCCCAUGGGCACCUGGACAUAUCCACAGAUCAACAUCAGAAAUCCAUUGUGAAGAGCACGUUUGUCGACUUCUGACCCGAGAAAAAUCUCACUCUUUGCAUCUUCUGGUGGUAUCAAGCAACACUGAAUGGCCUUGGAGGUCUUCUCCAAUAGAAAUCCAUCAUUUUAAUCCUUUCUGGCUCAUGGGCAUCUUCCACAGCCAAAUGGGAACAUACUGGGGCAAACCCCACAAUUUUGGAGAUGGUGGGGUGGAAACCCCUUCAAAAAGGGUUCUUCCCACCCAGCCAAGCAUGUGGAUGCUUUGCCAGCAGGGACACAUAAAUUCUUUUGUUUUGGCCUUGAAACAAAAAGGUUUCUGUUCAUUCCUUUGAAAGCCCUGUAACUGGGGUUAAAAAUAACGACAAGGAACUAAGACAUGGGUGGGGCCAUGGGGGGAGAUGGAUGAGGAUGUGAGGAACAUGGAUGGGGACAUUGCGAAGUGCUGUCCAAUGCAGGUACUGCCACCACAUCCCCACUAUCACCACCACAGUGCACCAGCCAGAUGUCAUCACCCAGCAGGGCAGGAGGUGGAACUUGUUCGGCUGUUGACAAGUGGCCCGGAGGAUGUCCCCAUGGCUGCUUCUGGCACGGAGCAUCUGCACUCACCCUGGCACAGUGCUCACCAUCCUGGAUACCCUUGAGUCCCCGGCCUGGGACUGUGGAUUUCCUCUUCCAAGAGAUUCAGAGCUGGACCGGC